UGAACGCUAGCGGUAUGCCUAACACAUGCAAGUCGUACGAGAGUUUUUAACUCUAGUGGCGGACGGGUGAGUAACACGUGAGAAUUUGCCUUUAGGAGGGGGACAACAACUGGAAACGGUUGCUAAUACCCCAUAUGCUUUCGAGUGAAACGGUUUUUCCGCCUAAAGAGAAGCUUGCGGCUGAUUAGCUUGUUGGUAAGGUAAUGGCUUACCAAGGCGACGAUCAGUAUCUGGUUUGAGAGGACGAUCAGACACACUGGAACUGAGACACGGUCCAGACUCCUACGGGAGGCAGCAGUGGGGAAUUUUCCGCAAUGGGCGAAAGCCUGACGGAGCAAUACCGCGUGAGGGAAGACUGCCUAUGGGUUGUAAACCUCUUUUUUCAGGGAGGAAUAAAAUGACGUGUACCUGAAGAAUAAGCAUCGGCUAACUCC
Molecule: ribosomal RNA, 434 nt
Filed under: uncultured bacterium
Lineage: Bacteria
Description: bacterial SSU rRNA
Rfam family: Bacterial small subunit ribosomal RNA
Source: RNAcentral